RNAcentral lists this ribosomal RNA (142 nucleotides) under uncultured eukaryote. Its description in RNAcentral is "partial 18S ribosomal RNA". It matches the Rfam family "Eukaryotic small subunit ribosomal RNA", at positions 1299 to 1458 of the family's 1831-position model. The record is from RNAcentral.
UGGUGGAGUGAUUUGUCUGGUUAAUUCCGUUAACGAACGAGACCUCGACCUGCUAAAUAGCUCGGCGAAUACUUUAUUCGACCGAUUCUGCUUCUUAGAGGGACUUUAUGUGGGUAGCAUACGGAAGUUCGAGGCAAUAACA